UUAUAUCUUAAAGCCUACUACAGAUUUGAAAAAGAAAAAUAAAUAAAAAGUAAUUUAAAGAAAUGAGAUAAGAAGGCAAAGAGAACAAGUACCGUUAGGGAAAUUUGAAAUAGAAGAAAAUAUUAUAUUUAAAUAGUAUUAAAUAUUAAGUACCUUUUGUAUUAGGGUUACUCAAAUUGUAAAAUUAUGCUUUACUUCCCGAAAAUAAAAGAUCUAGUUUAUAUUAUCUAACUCUAUGUAGCAUAAUAGUUAAACAAUUUAAACUAGUGGUUAAAUGCUAACCGAUUUUAUUGAUAUCUGGUUGUUUUCAAAAUGAAUCUAGUUCAGCUUGCUAUGGAAGAAUAAUAAUAUACAUACUAUCUUUCUUUAUCAGUAGAGAUAAGAAUUGGGGGAUGAUCUCCAAUUCAUUCUAGAAAUACUUAAAAUAGUUAACCUUUAUAUAGGCUUGAAAUUAGCUUUUUUAAAAUGUUAUAAUUAAUUGUCUAAAGUAAUGAAUUUAUCAAGGAUUCUAGAAUUAAGAAAACUAACUAAAAACUAAAUUAGGGCAGAAAAAAUGAUUAAAUUAGUAGAUUAUAAGGUCUGGAUUAAAUUAUAGAUAGAAUCUUGAAAGUUUCUAAUAAAUUAAUACUUUUAAAGAACUCGGCAAAAAAAUUUCCGAAUGUUUAACAAAAACAUUUCCUCUUUAUUAAGAGGUAGGGCCUGCUCACUGAUGUAUUUAAGAGCCGCGGUAUAUUGACUGUGCUAAGGUAGCAUAAUAAUUUGUCUUUUAAUUGAAGACUAGAAUGAAUGGUUUAACGAGAAAUUAACUUUUUUGAAAGUAACAUUUUGAAUUUAAUUUUUUAGUGAAAAAGCUAAAAUAGAAUAAAAAGACGAGAAGACCCUAUAGAGUUUUAUAUUUGAAUUAUUUGUUUUUAAAUAAUUUUGGUAAUCGCAAAUAAGUAAAUUAUUUUGUUGGGGCGACAUUUAGAUAAGAAAAACUUUUUAUUUUUAAAAUUUCAAUUGAAAAAUUUUUGAUCCUUAAAAAAGAUUAAAAGAAUAAGUUACCUUAGGGAUAACAGCGUAAUCUUUCUUGAGAGUUCUAAUCGACAGAAAGGUUUGCGACCUCGAUGUUGGACUAAAAUUAAAUUAAGGAGCAGUAUCCUUAGAUUUAGGUCUGUUCGACCUAUAGACUUUUACAUGAUCUGAGUUCAGACCGGCGAGAGCCAGGUUGGUUUCUAUCUUUUAUUUUUUCUUUUUUAAUUUAGUACGAAAGGACCAAUUAGAAAUAAUAUUUGUAUCUAAAGAUUAUGAUUAAUUGACUAGUAA
This 1305-nucleotide ribosomal RNA is filed under the name Lepas anatifera. RNAcentral describes it as "16S ribosomal RNA". The stretch from base 577 to 1305 matches the Rfam family "Archaeal large subunit ribosomal RNA", at positions 1423 to 2816 of the family's 2987-position model. Lineage: Eukaryota; Metazoa; Arthropoda; Thecostraca; Lepadidae. The record is from RNAcentral.